This 420-nucleotide ribosomal RNA is filed under the name uncultured Glaciecola sp. RNAcentral describes it as "bacterial SSU rRNA". It matches the Rfam family "Bacterial small subunit ribosomal RNA", at positions 1086 to 1504 of the family's 1533-position model. The record is from RNAcentral. Lineage: Bacteria; Pseudomonadati; Pseudomonadota; Gammaproteobacteria; Alteromonadales; Alteromonadaceae.
CCCGCAACGAGCGCCACCCUUGUCCUUAGUUACCCAGCAUUAAGUUCGGGUACUUUAAGGAGACUGCCGGUGACAAACCCGGAGGAAGGUGGGGACGACGUCAAGUCAUCACGGCCCUUACGAGCAGGGCUACACACGUGCUACAAUGGCGAGUACAAAGGGAUGCAAACUGGUGACAGUAAGCGGACCCCUUAAAGCUCGUCGUAGUCCGGAUUGGAGUCUGCAACUCGACUCCAUGAAGUCGGAAUCGCUAGUAAUCGUAGGUCAGCAUACUACGGUGAAUACGUUCCCGGGCCUUGUACACACCGCCCGUCACACCAUGGGAGUGGGAUGCAAAAGAAGUAGGUAGCUUAACCUUCGGGAUGGCGCUUACCACUUUGUGUUUCAUGACUGGGGUGAAGUCGUAACAAGGUAGCCGUA